RNAcentral lists this ribosomal RNA (439 nucleotides) under uncultured bacterium. RNAcentral's name for it is "partial 16S ribosomal RNA". It matches the Rfam family "Bacterial small subunit ribosomal RNA", at positions 339 to 795 of the family's 1533-position model. The record is from RNAcentral.
CUACGGGUUGCUCCAGUGAGGAAUAUUGCACAAUGGGGGGAACCCUGAUGCAGCAACGCCGCGUGGAGGAUGACGCAUUUCGGUGUGUAAACUCCUUUUAUAUGUCAAGAAAAUGACGGUAGCAUAUGAAUAAGCACCGGCUAACUCCGUGCCAGCAGCCGCGGUAAUACGGAGGGUGCAAGCGUUACUCGGAAUCACUGGGCGUAAAGGACGCGUAGGCGGGUUGGAAAGUCAGGUGUGAAAUCCUACAGCUUAACUGUAGAACUGCACUUGAAACUUCUAAUCUAGAGUAUGGGAGGGGGAGAUGGAAUUAGUGGUGUAAGGGUAAAAUCCGUAGAUAUCACUAGGAAUACCUAAAGCGAAGGCGAUCUCCUGGAACAUUACUGACGCUAAGGCGUGAAAGUGUGGGGAGCAAACAGGAUUAGAUACCCUUGUAGUC